Molecule: ribosomal RNA, 253 nt
Filed under: uncultured bacterium
Lineage: Bacteria
Description: partial 16S ribosomal RNA
Rfam family: Bacterial small subunit ribosomal RNA
Source: RNAcentral
UACGUAGGGUGCAAGCGUUGUCCGGAAUUAUUGGGCGAAAAGAGCUCGUAGGCGGUCUGUCGCGUCUGCUGUGAAAACUCAGGGCUUAACCCUGAGCUUGCAGUGGGUACGGGCAGACUAGAGUGCGGUAGGGGAGACUGGAAUUCCUGGUGUAGCGGUGAAAUGCGCAGAUAUCAGGAGGAACACCGGUGGCGAAGGCGGGUCUCUGGGCCGUAACUGACGCUGAGGAGCGAAAGCAUGGGGAGCGAACAGG